GGGUUGUGAGGUUAAGCGAACAAGCGUACACGGUGGAUGCCCUGGCAGUCAGAGGCGAUGAAGGACGUGCUAAUCUGCGAAAAGCGCCGGUAAGGUGAUAUGAACCGUUAUAACCGGCGAUGUCCGAAUGGGGAAACCCGGUGCACUUCGGUGCAUCAUCGUUAGCUGAAUACAUAGGCUAACGAGGCGAACCGGGGGAACUGAAACAUCUAAGUACCCCGAGGAAAAGAAAUCAACCGAGAUUCCCCCAGUAGCGGCGAGCGAACGGGGAACAGCCCAGAGCCUGAAUCAGCUUGUGUGUCAGUGGAACGGUCUGGAAAGGCCGGCGAUACAGGGUGACAGCCCCGUACACGAAGGCACACAGGCUGUGAGCUCGAUGAGUAGGGCGGGACACGUGAUAUCCUGUCUGAAGAUGGGGGGACCAUCCUCCAAGGCUAAAUACUCCUGACUGACCGAUAGUGAACCAGUACCGUGAGGGAAAGGCGAAAAGAACCCCGGCGAGGGGAGUGAAACAGAACCUGAAACCGUGUACGUACAAGCAGUGGGAGCCUUCGUAAGAGGGUGACUGCGUACCUUUUGUAUAAUGGGUCAGCGACUUAUAUUCUGUAGCAAGGUUAACCGUAUAGGGGAGCCGAAGGGAAACCGAGUCUUAACCGGGCGUUAAGUUGCAGGGUAUAGACCCGAAACCCGGUGAUCUAGCCAUGGGCAGGUUGAAGGUUGGGUAACACUAACUGGAGGACCGAACCGACUAAUGUUGAAAAAUUAGCGGAUGACCUGUGGCUGGGGGUGAAAGGCCAAUCAAACCGGGAGAUAGCUGGUUCUCCCCGAAAGCUAUUUAGGUAGCGCCUCGUGAACUCAUCUCCGGGGGUAGAGCACUGUUUCGGCUAGGGGGCCAUCCCGGCUUACCAACCCGAUGCAAACUGCGAAUACCGGAGAAUGUUAUCACGGGAGACACACGGCGGGUGCUAACGUCCGUCGUGAAGAGGGAAACAACCCAGACCGCCAGCUAAGGUCCCAAAGUCAUGGUUAAGUGGGAAACGAUGUGGGAAGGCCCAGACAGCCAGGAUGUUGGCUUAGAAGCAGCCAUCAUUUAAAGAAAGCGUAAUAGCUCACUGGUCGAGUCGGCCUGCGCGGAAGAUGUAACGGGGCUAAACCAUGCACCGAAGCUGCGGCAGCGACACUAUGUGUUGUUGGGUAGGGGAGCGUUCUGUAAGCCUGUGAAGGUGUGCUGUGAGGCAUGCUGGAGGUAUCAGAAGUGCGAAUGCUGACAUAAGUAACGAUAAAGCGGGUGAAAAGCCCGCUCGCCGGAAGACCAAGGGUUCCUGUCCAACGUUAAUCGGGGCAGGGUGAGUCGACCCCUAAGGCGAGGCCGAAAGGCGUAGUCGAUGGGAAACAGGUUAAUAUUCCUGUACUUGGUGUUACUGCGAAGGGGGGACGGAGAAGGCUAUGUCGGCCGGGCGACGGUUGUCCCGGUUUAAGCGUGUAGGCUGACUUUCCAGGCAAAUCCGGAAGGUUAAGGCUGAGGCGUGAUGACGAGGCACCACGGUGCUGAAGUGACAAAUGCCCUGCUUCCAGGAAAAGCCUCUAAGCAUCAGGUAACAUCAAAUCGUACCCCAAACCGACACAGGUGGUCAGGUAGAGAAUACCAAGGCGCUUGAGAGAACUCGGGUGAAGGAACUAGGCAAAAUGGUGCCGUAACUUCGGGAGAAGGCACGCUGACAUGUAGGUGAAGCCCCUGCGGGUGGAGCUGAAGUCAGUCGAAGAUACCAGCUGGCUGCAACUGUUUAUUAAAAACACAGCACUGUGCAAACACGAAAGUGGACGUAUACGGUGUGACGCCUGCCCGGUGCCGGAAGGUUAAUUGAUGGGGUUAUCGCAAGAGAAGCUCCUGAUCGAAGCCCCGGUAAACGGCGGCCGUAACUAUAACGGUCCUAAGGUAGCGAAAUUCCUUGUCGGGUAAGUUCCGACCUGCACGAAUGGCGUAAUGAUGGCCAGGCUGUCUCCACCCGAGACUCAGUGAAAUUGAACUCGCUGUGAAGAUGCAGUGUACCCGCGGCAAGACGGAAAGACCCCGUGAACCUUUACUACAGCUUGACACUGAACAUUGAGCCUUGAUGUGUAGGAUAGGUGGGAGGCUUUGAAGCGUGGACGCCAGUCUGCGUGGAGCCGACCUUGAAAUACCACCCUUUAAUGUUUGAUGUUCUAACCUGGCGCCGUGAUCCGGCGUGGGGACAGUGUCUGGUGGGUAGUUUGACUGGGGCGGUCUCCUCCCAAAGUGUAACGGAGGAGCACGAAGGUCAGCUAAUCCUGGUCGGACAUCAGGAGGUUAGUGCAAUGGCAUAAGCUGGCUUGACUGCGAGAGUGACGGCUCGAGCAGGUGCGAAAGCAGGUCAUAGUGAUCCGGUGGUUCUGUAUGGAAGGGCCAUCGCUCAACGGAUAAAAGGUACUCCGGGGAUAACAGGCUGAUACCGCCCAAGAGUUCAUAUCGACGGCGGUGUUUGGCACCUCGAUGUCGGCUCAUCACAUCCUGGGGCUGAAGUAGGUCCCAAGGGUAUGGCUGUUCGCCAUUUAAAGUGGUACGCGAGCUGGGUUUAGAACGUCGUGAGACAGUUCGGUCCCUAUCUGCCGUGGGCGCUGGAGAAUUGAGGGGGGCUGCUCCCAGUACGAGAGGACCGGAGUGGACGCAUCACUGGUGUUCGGGUUGUCAUGCCAAUGGCACUGCCCGGUAGCUAAAUGCGGAAGAGAUAAGUGCUGAAAGCAUCUAAGCACGAAACUUGCCCCGAGAUGAGUUCUCCCUGAGACUGUAAGUCUCCUGAAGGAACGUUGAAGACGACGACGUUGAUAGGCCGGGUGUGUAAGCG
RNAcentral lists this ribosomal RNA (2861 nucleotides) under Cronobacter sakazakii. RNAcentral describes it as "partial 23S ribosomal RNA". It matches the Rfam family "Bacterial large subunit ribosomal RNA". Lineage: Bacteria; Pseudomonadati; Pseudomonadota; Gammaproteobacteria; Enterobacterales; Enterobacteriaceae. The record is from RNAcentral.